Molecule: ribosomal RNA, 471 nt
Filed under: uncultured bacterium
Lineage: Bacteria
Description: bacterial SSU rRNA
Rfam family: Bacterial small subunit ribosomal RNA
Source: RNAcentral
GAGAACGCUGGCGGCGUGCCUAACACAUGCAAGUCGAGCGGAGAUAUAUGGAAGGUUUACCGGAAAUAUAUCUUAGCGGCGGACGGGUGAGUAACGCGUGGGCAACCUGCCUCAUACAGGGGGAUAACACAGGGAAACUUGUGCUAAUACCGCAUGAAAUCAUAGUAUGGCAUCAUACAAUGAUCAAAGGAGCAAUCCGGUAUGAGAUGGGCCCGCGUCCGAUUAGCUAGUUGGUGAGGUAACGGCUCACCAAGGCGACGAUCGGUAGCCGAACUGAGAGGUUGAUCGGCCACAUUGGGACUGAGACACGGCCCAGACUCCUACGGGAGGCAGCAGUGGGGAAUAUUGCGCAAUGGGGGAAACCCUGACGCAGCAACGCCGCGUGAAGGAAGAAGGCCUUCGGGUUGUAAACUUCUUUGAUAGGGGACGAUAAUGACGGUACCCUAAAAACAAGCCACGGCUAACUACGUG